GAUGAACGCUGGCGGCGUGCCUAAUACAUGCAAGUCGAGCGAACGGACGAGAAGCUUGCUUCUCUGAUGUUAGCGGCGGACGGGUGAGUAACACGUGGAUAACCUACCUAUAAGACUGGGAUAACUUCGGGAAACCGGAGCUAAUACCGGAUGAUGUUUUGAACCGUAUGGUUCAAAAGAGAAAGACGGUCUUGCUGUCACGUAUCGAUGGAUCCGCGCUGCAUUAGCUAGUUGGUAAGGUAACGGCUUACCAAGGCGACGAUGCAUAGCCGACCUGAGAGGCGGAUAGGCCACACGGGAACUGAGACACGGUCCAGACUCCUACGGGAGGCAGCAGUAGGGAAUCGUCCGCAAUGGGCGAAAGCCUGGCGGAGCAACGCCGCGUGAGUGAUGAAGGUCUUCGGAUCGUAAAACUCUGUUAUUAGGGAAGAACAGAUGUGUAAGUAACUGUGCACAUCUUGACGGUACCUAAUCAGAAAGCCACGGCUAACUACGUG
RNAcentral lists this ribosomal RNA (497 nucleotides) under uncultured bacterium. RNAcentral describes it as "partial 16S ribosomal RNA". It matches the Rfam family "Bacterial small subunit ribosomal RNA", at positions 28 to 507 of the family's 1533-position model. The record is from RNAcentral.